Molecule: long non-coding RNA, 1044 nt
Filed under: Equus caballus (horse)
Lineage: Eukaryota; Metazoa; Chordata; Mammalia; Perissodactyla; Equidae
Description: lncRNA (ENSECAG00000045706.1)
Source: RNAcentral
AGUGGAAGGAGGAAGAAGAUCAUAUUCCUUUAAUUUGAGAGUGCAGGGCACAUUAUAAAAUGCAGUGUAUGGGAAUGGACAACAUUGGGAAUGGAACCAGUGGGAUCAAAGUCCUCCUGUAUCUACAGGAAUAAAAAUAUGCCUUCAUCCAUGUUGAAGUUGAAGAUGGCCAGUCAUCAACUCCACUGUCAACUUCAAGUGUGACUUACACCCAAGCAUAUCAAUCACAUUAAAUGUAAACAACAAACACUAUGAUUAAAAGGCAGAGAUCGUCAGAUUAGAUAAAAAGGCAAGUCCCAACUUUUAUGCUGCUUAAAAGAAAUGCACUUUCAAUAUUAAUAUCUAAGUAGGUAAAAAGUAAAAGGAUAGAAGUGAUAGGCCAUUCUAAAGUAAUCAAAAUAAAUCUGCUGUAACUACAUUAAUAGUAGGCACAGUAGAUUACACAAGAAUAUUACCAAGAAUGAAGGUCUUUUCAUAGAGAGGUCAAUUCAUAAAGACAAAAAUCCUCAACUUUAUGGACAUGGAAGAUCUUCAAAAUACACAAAGCAAAAACCGAUAAAACUGCAAGGAGAAACAAAUUCCACAACCAUAGUUGAAGAUGGAUACUACUCUCUCAAUAACUGAUAGACAGAAAAUCUGUGAGUGUAUGGAAGACUUCAAUAACAGUAAUCAACCAAAUCCACUCACUUGACAAUUUCACAAUAAUCCACUUAGCAGCAGAAUAUACAUGUUCUUUUCAAAUGCUCAGGGAACACUUACUGAGACAGACCCUGUCCAGGACCAUAACACAUGUCACCAAUUUAAAAGGAUUCAUUUCACACAAAGUAUGUUCUCUGACCAAAACAGAACUACAAAUCUUUAACAAAGAUCUCUGGAAAAAUCCUUAAGUAAUUUGAAAUAACAUAAAGCUUCUAAAUACCACAUAGGUCAAAGCAAAAUUCAAGAAGGAAAUUGCCAAGUAUUUUUAACUGAAUAUAAAUGAAAGCACAAAAUGUAAGAAUAAGUGAAAUGCCACUAAACCCAUACACAGGCAGAAAUUUGAAG